CUACACGACCGUACCGCAAACCGACACUGGUGCGCGAGAUGAGUAUUCUAAGGCGCUUGAGAGAACUCAGGAGAAGGAACUCGGCAAAUUGACACCGUAACUUCGGAAGAAGGUGUGCCCUAUUAGUGUGAAGUGAACAACGGAGCAUGAAUGGGUUGCAAAAAAUCGGUGGCUGCGACUGUUUAUUAAAAACACAGCACUCUGCAAACACGAAAGUGGACGUAUAGGGUGUGACGCCUGCCCGGUGCUGGAAGAUUAAAUGAUGGGGUGCAAGCUCUUGAUUGAAGUCCCAGUAAACGGCGGCCGUAACAAUAACGGUCCUAAGGUAGCGAAAUUCCUUGUCGGGUAAGUUCCGACCUGCACGAAUGGCGUAACGAUGGCCACACUGUCUCCUCCUGAGACUCAGCGAAGUUGAAAUGUUUGUGAUGAUGCAAUCUCCCCGCGGAAAGACGGAAAGACCCCAUGAACCUUUACUGUAGCUUUGUAUUGGACUUUGAACAGAUCUGUGUAGGAUAGGUGGGAGGCUUUGAAGCAGGGUCGCUAGAUCUUGUGGAGCCAACGUUGAAAUACCACCCUGGUGUGUUUGAGGUUCUAACCUAGGUCCAUUAUCUGGAUCGGGGACAGUGCAUGGUAGGCAGUUUGACUGGGGCGGUCUCCUCCCAAAGCGUAACGGAGGAGUUCGAAGGUACGCUAGUUACGGUCGGACAUCGUGACGAUAGUGCAAUGGCAUAAGCGUGCUUAACUGCGAGACUGACAAGUCGAGCAGAUGCGAAAGCAGGACAUAGUGAUCCGGUGGUUCUGUAUGGAAGGGCCAUCGCUCAACGGAUAAAAGGUACUCUGGGGAUAACAGGCUGAUACCGCCCAAGAGUUCAUAUCGACGGCGGUGUUUGGCACCUCGAUGUCGGCUCAUCUCAUCCUGGGGCUGUAGCCGGUCCCAAGGGUAUGGCUGUUCGCCAUUUAAAGAGGUACGUGAGCUGGGUUUAAAACGUCGUGAGACAGUUUGGUCCCUAUCUUCCGUGGGCGCUGCAGAUUUGAGGAAGCCUGCUCCUAGUACGAGAGGACCGGAGUGGACACACCUCUGGUGUAUCGGUUGUCACGCCAGUGGCAUUGCCGAGUAGCUAAGUGUGGAAGAGAUAACCGCUGAAAGCAUCUAAGCGGGAGACUCGUUUCAAGAUGAGAUCUGCCGGGGCCUUGAGCCCCCUAAAGAGUCGUUCAAGACCAGGACGUUGAUAGGUCAGGUGUGGAAGCUAAAAAA
Molecule: ribosomal RNA, 1255 nt
Filed under: metagenome
Description: bacterial LSU rRNA
Rfam family: Bacterial large subunit ribosomal RNA
Source: RNAcentral